Acanthosepion pharaonis is the source of this 114-nucleotide non-coding RNA. NCBI's taxonomy places the organism in Eukaryota, Metazoa, Mollusca, Cephalopoda, Sepiida, Sepiidae. The record is from the annotation of a GenBank genome assembly.
UUACGGCCACAUCACGUUGAAACACCGGUUACCGUACGAUCACCGAAUUUAAACAACGUCGAGCCUGGUUAGUAUCUAGAAGAGUGAUUGCUUGGGAAUACCAGGUGCCGUAAG